Molecule: long non-coding RNA, 263 nt
Filed under: Homo sapiens (human)
Lineage: Eukaryota; Metazoa; Chordata; Mammalia; Primates; Hominidae
Description: HSALNT0183028
Source: RNAcentral
CAUGGAAACACACAGAGGCAGGACUGCUGGCUGCACGCUGGACUUGAGCAGAAAGAGUGCAUUGAGGAAUGAGAUUUGCCAGUUUGUGGAUCCCCUUGGCUAGUUAGAGGCGCAGGCAGCCUAACAUUGAAGAUGGGUGCUAACCAGAAGAGGAAACAGCACUGGAGCAGCUCCUUUAGAUCGAAUCAGAGCAAUACAGAGGAGGAAUGCAAGGAAGAUAGAUCUCUGCAUAGAAUACUUCAAAUGCCUUCUUUUUACUUCAG